Molecule: ribosomal RNA, 369 nt
Filed under: uncultured bacterium
Lineage: Bacteria
Description: bacterial SSU rRNA
Rfam family: Bacterial small subunit ribosomal RNA
Source: RNAcentral
AAUCAACGCUGGCGGCGUGCCUCAGACAUGCAAGUCGAACGAGAACCUCCCUUCGGGGAGGGGACAGUGGCGCACGGGUGAGUAACACGUGGGUAAUUUACCUUUGGGUGGGGAACAACAGCCGGAAACGGCUGCUAAUACCGCAUAAUGCAGCGGCUCGACAUCGAGACAGUUGUUAAAGCGGGGAUCGCAAGACCUCGCGCCUGAAGAGAAGCCUGCGGCGGAUUAGCAGUUGGUAGGGUAAUGGCCUACCAAGGCGACGAUCUGUAACCGGCCUGAGAGGGGCGGUCGGUCACACUGACACUGACAUACGGGUCAGACUCCUACGGGAGGCAGCAGUCGGGAAUUUUGGGCAAUGGGCGAAAGCCU